UACGUAGGGUGCAAGCGUUAAUCGGAAUUACUGGGCGUAAAGCGUGCGCAGGCGGUGAUGUAAGUCAGAUGUGAAAUCCCCGGGCUCAACCUGGGAACUGCAUUUGUGACUGCAUCGCUGGAGUGCGGCAGAGGGGGAUGGAAUUCCGCGUGUAGCAGUGAAAUGCGUAGAUAUGCGGAGGAACACCGAUGGCGAAGGCAAUCCCCUGGGCCUGCACUGACGCUCAUGCACGAAAGCGUGGGGAGCAAACAGG
This 253-nucleotide ribosomal RNA is filed under the name uncultured bacterium. RNAcentral's name for it is "partial 16S ribosomal RNA". It matches the Rfam family "Bacterial small subunit ribosomal RNA", at positions 524 to 776 of the family's 1533-position model. The record is from RNAcentral.